RNAcentral lists this unclassified non-coding RNA (159 nucleotides) under uncultured Hymenoscyphus. RNAcentral describes it as "sequence contains ITS1". The record is from RNAcentral. Lineage: Eukaryota; Fungi; Ascomycota; Leotiomycetes; Helotiales; Helotiaceae.
CAGUGUUCCCUGCCCUCACGGGUAGAAACGCCCACCCUUGUGUAAUAUAUAUUGUUGCUUUGGCAGGCCGCCUCCGGGCACCGGCUCCGGCUGGACCGCGCCUGUCAGAGGACCCCAAACUCUGAAUAUUCGUGUCGUCUGAGUACUAUAUAAUAGUUA